AUUCUGGCUCAGGAUGAACGCUGGCGGCGUGCUUAACACAUGCAAGUCGAACGGAACUUUCUCCCGAAGAAGCGGAGUGCUUGCACAAAGUGGAUUCAUUGAAAGUUAGUGGCGGACGGGUGAGUAACGCGUGGGUAACCUGCCGUAUGCCGGGGGACAACAGUUGGAAACGACUGCUAAUACCGCAUAAGCGCACAGUAUCGCAUGAUACAGUGUGAAAAAACUCCGGUGGCAUACGAUGGACCCGCGUCUGAUUAGCUAGUUGGUGAGGUAGCGGCCCACCAAGGCGACGAUCAGUAGCCGGCCUGAGAGGGUGAACGGCCACAUUGGGACUGAGACACGGCCCAAACUCCUACGGGAGGCAGCAGUGGGGAAUAUUGCACAAUGGGGGAAACCCUGAUGCAAGCGACGCCGCGUGAGUGAAGAAGUAUUUCGGUAUGUAAAGCUCUAUCAGCAGGGAAGAAAAUGACGGUACCUGACUAAGAAGCCCCGGCUAACUACGUGCCAGCAGCGGC
RNAcentral lists this ribosomal RNA (515 nucleotides) under uncultured bacterium. RNAcentral describes it as "bacterial SSU rRNA". It matches the Rfam family "Bacterial small subunit ribosomal RNA", at positions 16 to 518 of the family's 1533-position model. The record is from RNAcentral.